RNAcentral lists this ribosomal RNA (424 nucleotides) under uncultured bacterium. Its description in RNAcentral is "bacterial SSU rRNA". It matches the Rfam family "Bacterial small subunit ribosomal RNA", at positions 361 to 776 of the family's 1533-position model. The record is from RNAcentral.
AUAUUGCGCAAUGGUCGAAAGACUGACGCAGCGACGCCGCGUGUGGGAGGAAGCCCUUCGGGGUGUAAACCACUGUCGGGAGGGACGAACCGCGGACGGGCAAACAGCCCGGACGCCUGACGGUACCUCCAAAGGAAGCACCGGCUAACUCCGUGCCAGCAGCCGCGGUAAGACGGAGGGUGCAAGCGUUGUUCGGAAUUACUGGGCGUAAAGCGCGGGCAGGUGGUCUUUUAAGUCCUUUGUGAAAUCCCGGGGCUCAACUCCGGAUGUGCAGAGGAUACUGGAAGACUCGAGACUGGUAGAGGCGAGCGGAAUUCCUGGUGUAGCGGUGGAAUGCGUAGAUAUCAGGAAGAACACCGGUGGCGAAGGCGGCUCGCUGGGCCAGUUCUGACACUCAUCCGCGAAAGCGUGGGGAGCAAACAGG